This 26-nucleotide ribosomal RNA is filed under the name Trichoderma amazonicum. RNAcentral's name for it is "partial 18S small subunit ribosomal RNA". Lineage: Eukaryota; Fungi; Ascomycota; Sordariomycetes; Hypocreales; Hypocreaceae. The record is from RNAcentral.
GUUGGUGAACCAGNGGAGGGAUCAUU